Molecule: ribosomal RNA, 487 nt
Filed under: uncultured bacterium
Lineage: Bacteria
Description: partial 16S ribosomal RNA
Rfam family: Bacterial small subunit ribosomal RNA
Source: RNAcentral
GAUGAACGCUAGCGAUAGGCUUAACACAUGCAAGUCGAGCGGCAGCACAAGGGCGUUUGUUACCUGGGUGGCGACCGGCCCACGGGAGCGUAACGCGUAUGCAACUUGCCCUAUACAGGAGGAUAACCAGACGAAAUACGGACUAAUACUGAGAAUGCUCACAACUUGGCAUCAAGUGGUGAGGAAAGAAAUUCGGUAUAGGAUAGGCAUGCGUCCCAUCAGCUUGUUGGUGAGGUAACGGCUCACCAAGGCAACGAUGGGUAGGGGAACUGAGAGAUUUAUCCCCGACACUGGUACUGAGACACGGACCAGACGCCUACGAGAGGCAGCAGUGAGGAAUAGGGGGCAAUGGGCGCGAGCCUGAACCAGCCAAGUCGCGUGAAAGAUGACUGUCUUGUGGAUUGUAAACUUCUUUUAUGCGUGAAUAACAAGAGUCACGGGUGACUCCCUGCAGGUACCGUAUGAAUAAGCAUCGGCUAACUCCGUG